UUUGCUAUAGACUAUUAUAAAGAUUAUUGUGCUGAAAACAUAAUUUUUAGUCGGUCCAACCAAUAUUCCGAAUUUGAAAGAAGAUAUAUUCGUCAGUCCGACAUUUUAGAUUUUUUGGGAGAAGACGAAGAGAAUGUGUAUUUACAAUGUUUAAAUGAUUAUAGGACGGCUAAUCCUGAUUCGGUACAACAAAGUGAUAAGAUAGGCUUCGAAGAAUUUAGGGGAAUUAUGAAUUUGAUUUGCUCAACAAAACAACAAUUUGAUUUAAAAAAAUUCCUUAGAAAAAGAAUAGCAGUAAUUGUGGUUAUAAAAAAAGCUUUUGAUUUGACUUAUGAAGUCUUCACUAAAACUGGAGAAAAAUUUAUUCGACUGGCUGACUUUUUAUUUUUUAUGGGUGGAUACGAGAAAAACUAUUUGGAGGCAGCGAAUUCAGUUUUAUUAGAAGGAAAAAAAGAGCUAUACAUGAAGGAUUUUAAGAACAUUUUGUAUUUGAUUUUCUCAAAUCAAGAAUUUGUUGUGAAAGACUUUCUCGAAGAAAGGAUAGCAGUAGUUCAGGUGUAGAUAUAAUAUUAUAUUAGUAUUGCUUAAUCUAUAUUGUAAUAUUACUAUAGAUAAAAUAUUAAUAAUACAUUUAAAUAUCUUCACUUACAUGCACAAAAACUACAUUACACAAUUAUAAUAUUAAAAAUGUUAUUAAGGUUAAGUAUAUUAUUUUUGAUUUUAUUUUAAAUAUUAAAAGUGAUAAAAGGUGUUACG
Molecule: long non-coding RNA, 756 nt
Organism: Adelges cooleyi (spruce gall adelgid)
Lineage: Eukaryota; Metazoa; Arthropoda; Insecta; Hemiptera; Adelgidae
Exons: 4
Source: RefSeq, a predicted model, not a curated record